UAGGGAAUCUUCCACAAUGGACGCAAGUCUGAUGGAGCAACGGCCGCGUGAGUGAAGAAGGUUUUCGGACCGUAAAGCUCUGUUGUUGGUGAAGAAGGAUAGAGGUAGUAACUGGCCUUUAUUUGACGGUAAUCAACCAGAAAGUCACGGCUAACUACGUGCCAGCAGCCGCGGUAAUACGUAGGUGGCAAGCGUUGUCCGGAUUUAUUGGGCGUAAAGCGAGCGCAGGCGGAAGAAUAAGUCUGAUGUGAAAGCCCUCGGCUUAACCGAGGAAUUGCAUCGGAAACUGUUUUCUUGAGUGCAGAAGAGGAGAGUAGAACUCCAUGUGUAGCGGUGGAAUGCGUAGAUAUAUGGAAGAAUACCAGUGGCGAAGGCGGCUCUCUGGUCUGCAACUGACGCUGAGGCUCAAAAGCAUGGGUAGCGAACAGGAUUAGAUACCCUGGUAGUCCAUGCCGUAAACGAUGAGUGCUAAGUGUUGGGAGGCUUCCGCCUCUCAGUGCUGCAGCUAACGCAUUAAGCACUCCGCCUGGGGGAGUACGACCGCAAGGUUGAA
Molecule: ribosomal RNA, 553 nt
Filed under: uncultured bacterium
Lineage: Bacteria
Description: partial 16S ribosomal RNA
Rfam family: Bacterial small subunit ribosomal RNA
Source: RNAcentral